UAGUUAUAUGCUUGUCUCAAAGAUUAAGCCAUGCAUGUGAAAGUUCAUCCUUUUGAAUGAGAAACUGCGAAUGGCUCAUUAAAUCAGUUAUGAUCUACGCGAGCGAACAACCACAUGGAUAACCGUGGUAAUUCUAGAGCUAAUACAUGCGUAAAGGGUCCUUCGGGAUUCGCACUUAUUAGAUAAAGCCAACGUAAGGGUAAAACCUUUCGCCUUGGUGAAUCAUAAUAAUUUGGUGAUCGUGUAUGCGACACUCGCUCGAUUUUCUGCCCUAUCAU
RNAcentral lists this ribosomal RNA (278 nucleotides) under uncultured eukaryote. RNAcentral describes it as "partial 18S ribosomal RNA". It matches the Rfam family "Eukaryotic small subunit ribosomal RNA", at positions 21 to 318 of the family's 1831-position model. The record is from RNAcentral.